GGGCUAGUAGCUCAGCUGGCUAGAGCACACGACUGAUAAUCGUGAGGUCGAAGGUUCAAGUCCUUCCUGGCCCACCA
Molecule: transfer RNA, 77 nt
Filed under: Deltaproteobacteria bacterium HGW-Deltaproteobacteria-4
Lineage: Bacteria; Deltaproteobacteria
Also listed under: 5 other names
Description: tRNA-Ile
Rfam family: tRNA
About the family: Transfer RNA (tRNA) molecules are approximately 80 nucleotides in length. Their secondary structure includes four short double-helical elements and three loops (D, anti-codon, and T loops). Further hydrogen bonds mediate the characteristic L-shaped molecular structure. tRNAs have two regions of fundamental functional importance: the anti-codon, which is responsible for specific mRNA codon recognition, and the 3' end, to which the tRNAs corresponding amino acid is attached (by aminoacyl-tRNA synthetases). tRNAs cope with the degeneracy of the genetic code in two manners: having more than one tRNA (with a specific anti-codon) for a particular amino acid; and 'wobble' base-pairing, i.e. permitting non-standard base-pairing at the 3rd anti-codon position.
Source: RNAcentral